UGAGACGAGCCUGGGCAGCAUGGUGAAACCCCGUCUCUACUAAAAAUACAAAAAAUUAGCUGGGCGUGGUGGCGGGUACCUGUAGUCCCAGCUACUCGGGAGGCUGAGGCAGGAGAAUUGCUUGAACCCAGCAGGCGGAGGUUGCAGUGAUCUGAGAUCACGCCACUGCACUCCAGCCUGGGUGACAGAGUGAGACUCCAUCUAAAAAAAGAAAGAAAGAAAGAAAGAGAGAGAGAGAGAGGGAGGGAGGGAGGAAAGAGAGAGAGAGAGAAAGAGAAAGAAAGAAAGAAAGAAAAAGAAAGAAAGAAAGAAAGAGAAAAGAGAGAAAAAAUCCAUGCUGGUAGUCACCUCCAAUCGAGACCUGCCAUUCGUUUUUUUUUGUUUGUUUGUUUUAUUUUUUUUAAUGGAGCAGGAGCUGAGUGCGGUGGCUCAUGCCUGUAAUUCCAACGCUUUGGGAGACUGAGGUGGGCCAAUUGCUUGAGCCCAGUAGUUUGAGACCAGCCUGGGCAACAUGGGGAAACCACGUCUCUAGUAAAAAUACAAAAAUUAGCCGGACAUAGUGGUGCACACCUGUAGUCCCAGCUACUCGUGAGGCUAAGGCAGGAGGAUCAUUUAAGCCUGGAAGGUCAAGGCUGCAGAGAGCCAUGAUUGUGUUACUGCACUCCAGCCUGGGCGACAGUGCUAGACCUUGUCUCAAAAUAAAUAAAUAAAUAAAAAUAAAAUGGAGGGGGAAAAGUGGAGAAAAGCAGACUAAUUUAAGAUAUAUUUUAGGGAUCGAUAGACAAAUGCACAUGCAAAUGGAAAAUAACAUAGUUAUCAUGGAAUUCUUUAAUUUUGCACACAUUUGAUUUCCUUACUUCAUGGGCCAGGAACUGGGAAGUGUAGCAUAGGGUGAGUAGGAAAAUGAGAAGUCUGCCUUCUUGUUUACUUCCAAAAUAACUAGAAGAGGAGAAGUCUGUCUUCCAACAUAACCUGUUAGGUGUUACCAAAGUACUGUGCAUGCAUUUGUGGUUGUUAAGUACUGGUGCCUUAAUGCAUUUUUAUCACACUGAAUCAUAGUAUGGCAUCCUUGUUAAGCAUGAUAUGUCACUUUGUUUGGUUCCUUUCUCCAGGACUCGAACUAAAGAGAGCCAAAAAAGGAUGCAGGCAUGCAGCUCUCUUACAACUUGAAACUAAACAGAAGUUUAGAUUCCUCUUUUUUUUCUUUAGAAGUUUAGAUCUGGGAUGGCAUCUAGAAGCCCCCUCUUCCCAGGUCUCUUGCCAAUCUUCCUGUACUUAGCCAGAAUAAAAGGGUGAUCCAAGAAAUUUCUCUCUCCCCAUCCAAAUCAAGAGUUGAUGACACUGCUGUGACUGAUGCCUUUUGUUCCCAGACCAAAUUGUUUUUAUUGCCUACCCCCUGCCGG
Molecule: long non-coding RNA, 1403 nt
Filed under: Homo sapiens (human)
Lineage: Eukaryota; Metazoa; Chordata; Mammalia; Primates; Hominidae
Description: HSALNT0094989
Source: RNAcentral